GGCGGCAUGCCUUACACAUGCAAGUCGAACGGCAGCAUGAUCUAGCUUGCUAGAUUGAUGGCGAGUGGCGAACGGGUGAGUAAUACAUCGGAACGUGCCCUGUAGUGGGGGAUAACUAGUCGAAAGAUUAGCUAAUACCGCAUACGACCUGAGGGUGAAAGUGGGGGACCGCAAGGCCUCAUGCUAUAGGAGCGGCCGAUGUCUGAUUAGCUAGUUGGUGAGGUAAAGGCUCACCAAGGCGACGAUCAGUAGCUGGUCUGAGAGGACGAUCAGCCACACUGGGACUGAGACACGGCCCAGACUCCUACGGGAGGCAGCAGUGGGGAAUUUUGGACAAUGGGGGCAACCCUGAUCCAGCAAUGCCGCGUGUGUGAAGAAGGCCUUCGGGUUGUAAAGCACUUUUGUCCGGAAAGAAAUCGCACUUACUAAUAUUAGGUGUGGAUGACGGUACCGGAAGAAUAAGGACCGGCUAACUACGUGCCAGCAGCCGCGGUAAUACGUAGGGUCCAAGCGUUAAUCGGAAUUACUGGGCGUAAAGCGUGCGCAGGCGGUUGUGCAAGACCGAUGUGAAAUCCCCGGGCUUAACCUGGGAAUUGCAUUGGUGACUGCACGGCUAGAGUGUGUCAGAGGGGGGUAGAAUUCCACGUGUAGCAGUGAAAUGCGUAGAGAUGUGGAGGAAUACCGAUGGCGAAGGCAGCCCCCUGGGAUAACGCUGACGCUCAUGCACGAAAGCGUGGGGAGCAAACAGGANUAGAUACCCUGGUAGUCCACGCCCUAAACGAUGUCAACUAGUUGUUGGGGAUUCAUUUCCUUAGUAACGUAGCNNCGCGUGAAGUUGACCGCCUGGGGAGUACGGUCGCAAGAUUAAAACUCAAAGNAAUUGACGGGGACCCGCA
RNAcentral lists this ribosomal RNA (896 nucleotides) under uncultured bacterium. RNAcentral's name for it is "bacterial SSU rRNA". It matches the Rfam family "Bacterial small subunit ribosomal RNA", at positions 38 to 925 of the family's 1533-position model. The record is from RNAcentral.